RNAcentral lists this long non-coding RNA (321 nucleotides) under Polistes fuscatus (common paper wasp). RNAcentral describes it as "uncharacterized LOC122520653". The record is from RNAcentral. Lineage: Eukaryota; Metazoa; Arthropoda; Insecta; Hymenoptera; Vespidae.
AUAUAUAAUUUAAGAGAAGUUCCCGUAUUUAUUUAACCAAGAAGUAUGAUAUAAUAUAAUUAUGCGAAAAUGGCAUUAAGUCAUUCGAAAUUUCGUACAAUGUACGAAAUGCACGAUCAUUUUAUUUCGUACCAAUGUCCGGCUUAGGUUUCAGGCAUUUAUACAAUAAUCACUAGCCUUGACAGUCGAUUACAUCAUUUGGUAAUAGGUAAGCAGGUAGUAUACUUUUCUGAAUGAAUCCGAAGCAGAUGAGUUUUUGUAGAGAAAAAAAAGAAACUUAACAAAUUGUGUAUGGAAGAAAAUAUAUAGGAUAUAUAUAUA